AGAUAAAAAAAGGCCCAAAACUAUCCAAUUGUUUUGGGCCUAGGGAAAGGGCUCGAUUAAGAGCCUUGCGCUACUGUUGUGGCAUCUUAAGGUAGCUUAGGAUGCCAAAUACUGAAUCGAACAUAGAUUAAUUAUAGGCACUCAAAUU
RNAcentral lists this small RNA (148 nucleotides) under Shewanella frigidimarina NCIMB 400. The record is from RNAcentral. Lineage: Bacteria; Pseudomonadati; Pseudomonadota; Gammaproteobacteria; Alteromonadales; Shewanellaceae.